This is a long non-coding RNA of Gasterosteus aculeatus aculeatus (three-spined stickleback), 1077 nucleotides long. The record is from Ensembl. Lineage: Eukaryota; Metazoa; Chordata; Actinopteri; Perciformes; Gasterosteidae.
AUUCCACUGGGUUGGGGUCAGGGCAUCCGUCUCCAUUCGGUUCCUGUGUACGCAGCAAAUAAAACCCUGAAUGUACACUUCAACACUUUCGGUUCAGGCGGGCUGGGUUUGACGUUGUGCUGACCCGCAGGAAUGAGGUGAUGGGGGAGCUGAACCUUUCCGAACCGGGGGGCUUUAUUCGCGGUUAUAGUGACGCACGACUCCUCGUGUCCUCCUAUCUGGCGUUCAUCACCAAGGCGGCGCUGCGAAUGACUUGUUCCUGGCUGCCAGUAUCAGCUCAACACUGGAGUCUGGCUGCAGGAGGCCUGUCAGCUCCUGAUGGAUGAUGACCCAGCAGAAAACUGGCACGAGAAUUGUGCAAAAUAUCCGCUGGUGACACGAGGCCACGUAAGCUGUGUAAACGAUGACGAGCUCCGACAGCACGUCUGUCGGCGCGUCUGCAAAAUGUUUUGACGCUUUCAAAAGCACUUUGAGGCCCUUUCGGGGCGAACCUGCUUAUUUGAGGAUCCCCCGGGUUGACCGUCAUCUCUGACAGAGCAUCUGAAUAAUGUCUACCGUCCCCAGCAGGAAAGCACUGAGACGAAGGCGGAUCAUUGAAGGCCCACGUCAGACCCCGGGCACUCAAACGGUUUAGAGGAAGAUCUCGGGAAACAAAAGUAUCCCCCGUUGAAACCUGCUGGAGCUUUUAGUUAUAAUCCCCCAUGUUGGGUAAUAAAAGAACCGUCUGAAAGGAUCCCAGGUGGAGCCUUUAUGAAAUGAAAUGAGGAUAGUGGCACAAAUACACAAAUCCCAAACCAGCCAUGUCGCUCGUGAUUUAUUGAGCCGAACAAAACGAGCAAAAAACAACAACAAAAAGGAGCUUCUUCCGACUCUCCCCCUUCUGGAAAAAAAACCCAUGAGCCCGCCCCAGUGCAUGCUGGUCCGGUACCGGUCUACUCAUGUGUGUGUCCACAGCCGCUUCUAAAAUGUGCUAAACUAAAUGAAAAUAAACAGCUAUCUGUAUCAAAUGAAUAUAACCUAAAUAAACGAGCUUCUAGAGAGAAUACACACAAUAUCACAUCAUGUGAAUGAAAUGAC